This 497-nucleotide ribosomal RNA is filed under the name uncultured bacterium. RNAcentral describes it as "partial 16S ribosomal RNA". It matches the Rfam family "Bacterial small subunit ribosomal RNA", at positions 28 to 507 of the family's 1533-position model. The record is from RNAcentral.
GAUGAACGCUGGCGGCGUGCCUAAUACAUGCAAGUCGGGCGGACUGACGAAACUCGUUCUUCACGGAUGUUAGCGACGGACGGGUGAGUAACACGUGGAUAACCUAUCUAUGAGACUUGGAUAACUGCGGGAAACCUGAGCUAAGCCCGGAUUAUCUUCUCAACCUCAUGUUUCAAAAGUAUAAUACUGUCUUACUGUUACUCAUACAUGGAUCCGCGCUGCAUUAGCUAGGUCGUAAGGUAACGGCGUACCAAGUCAACGGUGCAUAGCCGACCUGAGAGGGUGAUCGGGCCCACUGGAACGGAGCCACGGCCCAGACUCCUACGGGACGGAGCGGUAGGGAAUCUUACGUAAUGGGAGAAAGCCUGACGGAGCAAAGCCGCGCGAGUGAUGAAGAUCUUCGGAUAGUAAAACUAUGUUACUAGGGAAGAACAAAAGUGUAAGUAACUGUGAACAUCUUGACGGUACUUAAACAGAAAGCAACGGCUAACUACGUG